This 254-nucleotide ribosomal RNA is filed under the name uncultured bacterium. RNAcentral describes it as "partial 16S ribosomal RNA". It matches the Rfam family "Bacterial small subunit ribosomal RNA", at positions 524 to 776 of the family's 1533-position model. The record is from RNAcentral.
UACGGAGGGUGCUAGCGUUGUUCGGAAUUACUGGGCGUAAAGGGCGCGCAGGCGGCUGCUCAAGUCAGGCGUGAAAGGCCUGGGCUCAACCCGGGAAUUGCGCUUGAGACUGGGCUGGCUUGAGUGCGGGAGAGGAUGGUGGAAUUCCCAGUGUAGAGGUGAAAUUCGUAGAUAUUGGGAAGAACACCGGUGGCGAAGGCGGCCAUCUGGACCGCAACUGACGCUGAGGCGCGAAAGCGUGGGGAGCAAACAGG